UACCCUUUCAUGUGUUGAUAUGAAUAUGAAGAGGGGGGUUGGAUGGCUGAAUGGUUAGCGUGUGCACGCUGUAUCAUAACGUCUGUCAUUGAGUCAACUGGCGUUGUACGUGACAAGGAAUAGGGUCGUCUGUCCAACCUCGUGGGUUUUCUCAGGGUUCUCCAGUUUCCUUCCCCUGCUAAAGACCCCUAUGUGCACGCGAAUUAUUGAAAUAAAAUGACUUAGUUUGUGUCAAGUGAACGUUAAACCCUAUUUCUCUCUCUCAUAAAUAUGAAGAAUGUGGGGCUCUUCGGGACUAAAUCUUAUGAAAUUGUAUGGUCAUUCGUCGCGAAAGUUCCUAAGUAUGAAUCCAUUUUGAUUUAAAAUGGUUCAAAUAUAAUCCAACAUGAGAUGUCAGUUAUGUCUCAUUCGGGAUCAGUCAUGAAAAGCCCAAUUAUUUGUAUCGUAAUAUUUCUACGCGCAUCAGCCUUCUAAAUGAUGUGAUUGACUUUUUUCCUGUUUUCAGAGAGGGUACGGCAUCAAUCUGGUUAAAACACAGAUCCUAUUUCGUUUUCGUUUUAUAGUUCAAAAUUUCGUUUUACUUGUCUUUACUACACUUGGAUCUGGAAGAGUUGUUAUUUAACUCGUGUUCUGAAUGGUGACAGGGAUAAGCCAACGAAACGGUCUGUUACGGUUAUCGAUAUCAGCAGUAGUCAUGUCAUAUCUCCAGAAUCCACAACCAAUGCAGCCACCAUGGUAAUAUGUAGUGAUCUGAUAUCAUCCAUACAAAAAUUUUAUACACAAUAAUUGCCAGUUUAU
Long non-coding RNA from Patella vulgata (common limpet), 798 nucleotides. RefSeq lists it as uncharacterized. NCBI's taxonomy places the organism in Eukaryota, Metazoa, Mollusca, Gastropoda, Patellidae. The transcript is spliced from 2 exons. The record is from RefSeq and is a predicted model, not a curated record.